This is a long non-coding RNA of Capsicum annuum, 1268 nucleotides long. RefSeq lists it as uncharacterized. The record is from RefSeq and is a predicted model, not a curated record. The transcript is spliced from 2 exons. NCBI's taxonomy places the organism in Eukaryota, Viridiplantae, Streptophyta, Magnoliopsida, Solanales, Solanaceae.
UUAAUCAAUAUUCAUGAUCCAAAUAAUACCAAAUCAAACAAAUCAAGAUCCACACUUUAUCAAUUUGCCACACAAAGUAUCAAAAUUUAAAAUUACUCAAGAAAAAAGAUGAGAAAUGAGCCUUAAUGUCGCUUUUCAAUCAAGUAUUACUCAAUUAAACAAGAUGAAGUCCACGUCAAGAACCUCGAAAUAAAACCUCGGUAAUAACCACCAGCUUGAAUCACCCCCAGCCCCCCAAAAAAAUGAGCAACCCCGAAACAAUCGUUUCAAAUUAGAAGCCUAAAAGCUAAAUCAAAUCAGAGCUUUGGCAGCAUCAACAGUGAGGGAACUCAACGAUUUGAGUCGAAUUGGAUCGUCGGAUUCGGUGUUUAUGGGUGGAACGGGUAGCUUAAUGUAUGGAGUUAGGAAGAUAAGAGGCAGGGUUAUUCCGAUGGCAGCAACAUUUUUCGCCUGAAGAUGAGACUCUUUGGAAUUGGCUUGGAAUCUUACAUAAAGUCCAACACUAAAGAUGAUGUCAGGUCUAAUUACAGUAAGAUACAAGAGAUACAUAAUCUACCUCUAUGUAUAUUCUCCACGAUCGAUGCAAUAGAUUUAUCAUGGUUUUGUUUUGUGGCAGUGGUAAUGUGAGUAUUGAUCACCUUGGAUUUCUCCAUCUUGAACUUCUCGAGCAACUCUUUCAUAUACGUUUGUUGGUAAUCAUGGAUCCUGUUGGAGUUUGCUUACUUUGAAGUCCUGUAAAGAAAUUGAGCUCUAUUAUCAUACUCAUCUCAUUUCUCCAUUCAUGAAUUGGGAAAGUUUUUGAGUUAUAGUAUUUUUAGUGGAUCCAAUGAUGAUAUCAUCAACAUAGACUAAGCAAUUGGAGUUUUUUUCAAACAUAAAAAGCAUGAUCUAGUUUGUAGACAUGAUUAGGGAGUUCAGUACUCUCAAAUAUAAGAGGUUGUUACACAUAAAAUUAUUCUUUUAGAUUUUCAUUUAGGAAUGUACUCUUCACAUCCAUUUAAUACAGGGUAAAUUCCAUGAAGGAGGUAAAUGCAACAAGUAGCCAGAUUUCCCCAAGCCUUGCCAUAGGUGCAAAUGUCUUAUCAUAGUCAAUUCCUUAUUUUUUAUUGUACCCUUGGACCACCAACCUUUUCUUAUUUCUUGUAAUAGUUUCAUAUUCAUCACGCUUAUUUCUGAACACCCAUUUUAUUCCAAUUAUAGUACUAUCUGUAAGAGGAGGAACCAGGUGACACACUUUACUUAUCUCUAAUUGAUAAUGUUCUUCAUAU